AUUGAACGCUGGCGGCAGGCCUAACACAUGCAAGUCGAACGAGUGGCGGACGGGUGAGUAAUGUCUGGGAAACUGCCCGAUGGAGGGGGAUAACUACUGGAAACGGUAGCUAAUACCGCAUACCAUCGGAUGUGCCCAGAUGGGAUUAGCUAGUAGGUGGGGUAACGGCUCACCUAGGCGACGAUCCCUAGCUGGUCUGAGGGGAUGACCAGCCACACUUGAACUGAGACACGGUCCAGACUCCUAAGGGAGGGAGGAGUGGGGAAUAGUGCACAAUGGGCGCAAGGCUGAAGCAGCCAUGCCGCGUGUAUGAAGGAGGCCUUCGGGUUGUAAAGGACUUUCAGCGGGGAGGCGUUACCCGCAGAAGAAGCACCGGCUAACUCCGUGCCAGCAGCCGCGGUAAUAC
This 406-nucleotide ribosomal RNA is filed under the name uncultured bacterium. RNAcentral describes it as "partial 16S ribosomal RNA". It matches the Rfam family "Bacterial small subunit ribosomal RNA", at positions 29 to 526 of the family's 1533-position model. The record is from RNAcentral.